AAGAAACACUGGAAGAAGUAAGUUAUUAAAUUAGUAAUUCAAUUCCUGUGAGCAACAGAAAGUAAAGAGGUCCUGCCUCUGUUGGUGGGGAAGGCCCGCAGAACUAGUGGAAGGAGAAGCUGAUGGGUGAAGUAGCAAAUCAGACUUCCUAUGUGAAUUUGAAAAACUACAGUUGGAAAUAAAAGCUAGGGCCAUAUGCUGAGCUGUGAAAAUUUAGGGGAAAAAAAAGGAACAUGGUUUAGUACACUUGAGAAACUAGAGAAAAGUUACAGAGGCACAGAGAGAAACUUGAACAGGCAAGAGAAGCAUUUCCCUGGAGCUUUGCUGCUGCUGCUGCAAUACCAUUAGCAUUGGAGCCUGUCCCAGCACCUGCAGGAAGAAGAAAUCCACAGAAAAUGGAUUCAGCAAGCACCAAGUACCUUCACUGACAUACACCACUCUCCAGAAGUUCACCUCUUCUGUGGAGAGAUUCUUAUCCCAUUUUUGGGACAAUAUUUAGGGGUCAACCAAACUCCAGACAGCCUCCACCUGCCAGAAAGGACACAGUGGAAGUAGCUUUGGUGAUGCAAAUCACGUUAUUGCAGCAAUGAACAGAAGCCACAGCCUUAUCUUUCCUCAUCUCAGAUUUUGUUUGCAAGAUAAUACUGUUUUCUGUCUUGUAGACCAUUGGAGUAGUUGACACACUGUAUCAGUGUCACCAUAUUCAACUGUAGAGAAAAGCUGUGAUGUGCGGAAAAAAAAAAUAAUAAAAAAAAAAAGCCAUGAAAAGCCCUCA
RNAcentral lists this long non-coding RNA (775 nucleotides) under Anas platyrhynchos platyrhynchos (common mallard). Its description in RNAcentral is "lncRNA (ENSAPLG00000030208.1)". The record is from RNAcentral. Lineage: Eukaryota; Metazoa; Chordata; Aves; Anseriformes; Anatidae.